This 504-nucleotide ribosomal RNA is filed under the name uncultured bacterium. RNAcentral describes it as "partial 16S ribosomal RNA". It matches the Rfam family "Bacterial small subunit ribosomal RNA", at positions 30 to 523 of the family's 1533-position model. The record is from RNAcentral.
AUUGAACGCUGGCGGAAUGCUUUACACAUGCAAGUCGAACGGCAGCAUAGAGAGCUUGCUCUCUGAUGGCGAGUGGCGAACGGGUGAGUAAUAUAUCGGAACGUACCCAGUAAUGGGGGAUAACGAAUCGAAAGAUUCGCUAAUACCGCAUACGCCCUACGGGGGAAAGCGGGGGAUCGUAAGACCUCGCGUGAUUGGAGCGGCCGGUAUCUGAUUAGCUAGUUGGUGAGGUAAAGGCUCACAAAGGCGACGAUCAGUAGCUGGUCUGAGAGGACGACCAGCCACACUGGAACUGAGACACGGUCCAGACUCCUACGGGAGGCAGCAGUGGGGAAUUUUGGACAAUGGGGGCAACCCUGAUCCAGCCAUUCCGCGUGAGUGAAGAAGGCCUUCGGGUUGUAAAGCUCUUUCGCAAGGGAAGAAAACUUAUCUACUAAUACUAGGUGAGGCUGACGGUACCUUGAUAAGAAGCACCGGCUAACUACGUGCCAGCCGCCGCGGUAA